Molecule: ribosomal RNA, 292 nt
Filed under: uncultured bacterium
Lineage: Bacteria
Description: partial 16S ribosomal RNA
Source: RNAcentral
GGACUACUGGGGUAUCUAAUCCUGUUCGCUCCCCACGCUUUCGCGCCUCAGCGUCAGUAUUAUGCCAGGCGGCUGCCUUCGCCAUCGACGUUCCUUCCGAUCUCUACGCAUUUCACCGCUACACCGGAAAUUCCGCCGCCCUCUCAUAUACUCUAGCAAGCCAGUUUGCGGCGCACUUCCCAGGUUGAGCCCGGGGCUUUCACGCCACACCCACCUUACCGCCUACGCGCCCUUUACGCCCAGUAAAUCCGAUUAACGCUCGCACCCUCUGUAUUACCGCGGCUGCUGGCAC